GACGAACGCUGGCGGCGUGCUUAACACAUGCAAGUCGAACGGAAAGGCCCUGCUUUUGUGGGGUGCUCGAGUGGCGAACGGGUGAGUAACACGUGAGUAACCUGCCCUUGACUUUGGGAUAACUUCAGGAAACUGGGGCUCAUACCGGAUAGGAGCUCCUGCUGCAUGGUGGGGGUUGGAAAGUUUCGGCGGUUGGGGAUGGACUCGCGGCUUAUCAGCUUGUUGGUGGGGUAGUGGCUUACCAAGGCUUUGACGGGUAGCCGGCCUGAGAGGGUGACCGGCCACAUUGGGACUGAGAUACGGCCCAGACUCCUACGGGAGGCAGCAGUGGGGAAUAUUGCACAAUGGGCGGAAGCCUGAUGCAGCAGCGCCGCGUGCGGGAUGACGGCCUUCGGGUUGUAAACCGCUUUCGCCUGUGACGAAGCGUGAGUGACGGUAAUGGGUAAAGAAGCACCGGCUAACUACGUG
Molecule: ribosomal RNA, 468 nt
Filed under: uncultured bacterium
Lineage: Bacteria
Description: partial 16S ribosomal RNA
Rfam family: Bacterial small subunit ribosomal RNA
Source: RNAcentral